GGCCCAAUGGUCUAGACGUAUGAUACACGCUUCGGGUCUUCCCGCUUACUUAUGUAAGUGCAAUGUGUGUGGUCCCGGGUUCAAUUCCCGGUUGGGCCC
Mycena capillaripes is the source of this 99-nucleotide non-coding RNA. NCBI's taxonomy places the organism in Eukaryota, Fungi, Basidiomycota, Agaricomycetes, Agaricales, Mycenaceae. The record is from the annotation of a GenBank genome assembly.